RNAcentral lists this ribosomal RNA (433 nucleotides) under uncultured bacterium. RNAcentral's name for it is "partial 16S ribosomal RNA". It matches the Rfam family "Bacterial small subunit ribosomal RNA", at positions 29 to 507 of the family's 1533-position model. The record is from RNAcentral.
AACGAACGCUGGCGGCAUGCCUAACACAUGCAAGUCGAACGAGACCUUCGGGUCUAGUGGCGCACGGGUGCGUAACGCGUGGGAACCUGCCCUUAGGUUCGGAAUAACUCCCCGAAAGGGGUGCUAAUACCGGAUAAUGUCUUCGGACCAAAGAUUUAUCGCCUUUGGAUGGGCCCGCGUUGGAUUAGCUAGUUGGUAGGGUAAAAGCCUACCAAGGCGACGAUCCAUAGCUGGUCUGAGAGGAUGAUCAGCCACACUGGGACUGAGACAUGGCCCAGACUCCUACGGGAGGCAGCAGUGGGGAAGAUUGGACAAUGGGAGAAAGCCUGAUCCAGCAAUGCCGCGUGAGUGAUGAAGGCCUUAGGGUUGUAAAGCUCUUUUACCCGGGAUGAUAAUGACAGUACCGGGAGAAGAAGCGCCGGCUAACUCCGUG